RNAcentral lists this ribosomal RNA (253 nucleotides) under uncultured bacterium. Its description in RNAcentral is "partial 16S ribosomal RNA". It matches the Rfam family "Bacterial small subunit ribosomal RNA", at positions 524 to 776 of the family's 1533-position model. The record is from RNAcentral.
UACGUAGGGUGCAAGCGUUGCCCGGAUUUAUUGGGCGUAAAGAGCGUGUAGGCGGCCAUGUAGGUCCGGUGUGAAAACUCGAGGCUUAACCUCGAGAUGUCAUCGGAAACCAUUUGGCUAGAGUCCGGAAGAGGAGAGUGGAAUUCCUGGUGUAGCGGUGAAAUGCGCAGAUAUCAGGAAGAACACCCGUGGCGAAGGCGGCUCUCUGGGACGGUACUGACGCUGAGACGCGAAAGCGUGGGGAGCGAACAGG